Molecule: ribosomal RNA, 391 nt
Filed under: uncultured bacterium
Lineage: Bacteria
Description: partial 16S ribosomal RNA
Rfam family: Bacterial small subunit ribosomal RNA
Source: RNAcentral
AUACGGAGGAUGCAAGCGUUAUCCGGAUUUAUUGGGUUUAAAGGGUGCGUAGGCGGGACUGUAAGUCAGGGGUGAAAUACUGCAGCUUAACUGUAGCAUUGCCUUUGAAACUGUGGUUCUUGAGUACAGUUGAGGUAGGCGGAAUGUGGUGUGUAGCGGUGAAAUGCAUAGAUAUACCACAGAACGCCGAUUGCGAAGGCAGCUUACUAAGCUGUUACUGACGCUGAGGCACGAAAGCGUGGGGAUCAAACAGGAUUAGAUACCCUGGUAGUCCACGCUGUAAACGAUGAUUACUGGUUGUUAGCGAUAUAUAGCUAGUGACUGAGCGAAAGCAUUAAGUAAUCCACCUGGGGAGUACGUCGGCAACGAUGAAACUCAAAUGAAUUGACGG